This 633-nucleotide ribosomal RNA is filed under the name uncultured Actinomycetes bacterium. RNAcentral's name for it is "bacterial SSU rRNA". It matches the Rfam family "Bacterial small subunit ribosomal RNA", at positions 154 to 784 of the family's 1533-position model. The record is from RNAcentral. Lineage: Bacteria; Bacillati; Actinomycetota; Actinomycetes.
AAACUGGGUCUAAUACCGGAUAGGAGCCAAUUUUUAGUGUGCAUGGUUGGAAACGUUCCGUCCGUGUGUAUUGAUGAGCUCUGCUGGCUAUCAGCUUGUUGGUGGGGUAAUGGCCUACCAAGGCGGCGACGGGUACCGGCCUGAGACGGGUGGACGGCCACAUUGGGACUGAGAUACGGCCCAGACUCCUACGGGAGGCAGCAGUGGGGAAUAUUGCACAAUGGGCGCAAGCCUGAUGCAGCGACGCCGCGUGGGGGAUGACUGGCCUUCGGGUUGUAAACUCCGUUCGCUAGGGACGAAGCUUUUUGUGACGGUACCUAGAUAAGAAGCACCGGCUAACUACGUGCCAGCAGCCGCGGUAAUACGUAGGGUUGCGAGCGUUGUCCGGAAUUACUGGGCGUAAAGGGCUCGUAGGUGGUUUGUCGCGUCGUCUGUGAAAUUCCGGGGCUUAACUCCGGGCGUGCAGGCGAUACGGGCAUAACUUGAGUACUGUAGGGGUAACUGGAAUUCCUGGUGUAGCGGUGAAACAUGCGCAGAUAUCAGGAGGAACACCGACUGGCGAAGGCAGGUUCACUCGGGCAGUUACUGACGCUGAGGAGCGAAACAGCAUGGGUAGCGAACAGGACUUAGAUA